This 121-nucleotide ribosomal RNA is filed under the name Chlorosarcinopsis eremi. The record is from RNAcentral. Lineage: Eukaryota; Viridiplantae; Chlorophyta; Chlorophyceae; Chlorosarcinales; Chlorosarcinaceae.
CCUUGGUGCUCAUCGCUCAACUGGAACCACGCCAAUCCAUCCCGAACUUGGCUGUGAAAAAGUUGAGGGGAUAUAGCUACUAGAUGGGAGCCUGUCUGGAAUCUAUACCCUAGUGCCAGGG